AACGAACGCUGGCGGCAGGCUUAACACAUGCAAGUCGAGCGCCCCGCAAGGGGAGCGGCAGACGGGUGAGUAACGCGUGGGAAUCUACCGUGCCCUACGGAAUAGCUCCGGGAAACUGGAAUUAAUACCGUAUACGCCCUACGGGGGAAAGAUUUAUCGGGGUAUGAUGAGCCCGCGUUGGAUUAGCUAGUUGGUGGGGUAAAGGCCUACCAAGGCGACGAUCCAUAGCUGGUCUGAGAGGAUGAUCAGCCACAUUGGGACUGAGACACGGCCCAAACUCCUACGGGAGGCAGCAGUGGGGAAUAUUUGACAAUGGGCGCAAGCCUGAUCCAGCCAUGCCGCGUGAGUGAUGAAGGUCUUAGGAUUGUAGAGCUCUUUCACCGGUGAAGAUAAUGACGGUAACCGGAGAAGAAGCCACGGCUAACUUCGUGCCAGCCGCCGCCGUAA
Molecule: ribosomal RNA, 447 nt
Filed under: uncultured bacterium
Lineage: Bacteria
Description: partial 16S ribosomal RNA
Rfam family: Bacterial small subunit ribosomal RNA
Source: RNAcentral